UCUACUGAGAACUUUAGCCCUCUACCUCUCGUUUAUGGAUUACAGUGAAACAUUACUGUACUGUUAGUACUAAUGUUCUACUCAUAUUUUCAAGGCUAUCUUGAGAACAAUGGUUAACACAAAUUUUAAAAAGGAACCUAAAAAGGGAAGAGAAGAACUUUUUGGCAGAUUUAUUUACAUAAAUUGCAGUUCUGCAGAAAUCUUUCAUACCCUGUGUCAUGCCCAUUAGCAGGGCAAACAAAGAUAUAUGAAGGAAGUUCUCCAAAUACUGGAGAAAGGAAAAGAGAGUAAGUAAUGUAAUUCUGCAGAGGCAUACUAAGUUUAGACGUAACUGCAAAGGUGUGGGCAACAACAUCCUGCUGACUUUGUGUUCCUGAAAAUGGGGUGUUCUGAACACCUCUGUCAGAGCACUGGCACUACUGCUAACUGUAGUCUUCAUGCCAUAUGGCACUUUUUCCUCCUCUAAAGUGUUGUGUUGAAAAUUUUUGCUUGUUUGAAUCCUCAGGCAUAUAUAAGGCAUCAGGAUAUAUAUAUUUUUUUUCCUAAGUGAGAAAAUCUUAACAGAACAGGUGUUCUUGCUGGCUUCUUGUCUUCCACACUACAUAACAGCAGCUAUUUCUAAAUGGUGUGGUUUAUUAUUUUCAGUUUUUUACCUCUCAUACUUGUGUAUUUGCAAGUCCUUCUUGCUCAUCUCUGAUUAUUUCACAUCUCAUUUAGAUAUUUCUAUUGAAAGCCGUUCACACUGGUGGCUUUUCUGUUUAGAUGACUUCAGUGGAGAAGAAUUUAGCAGCUCUCUUCGUGCUGUGUUCAGGUGCAGCUUGUGCAGCCAGCCAGCUGUGGUUUUACCCAAUCCUAAACAAAUCUACAAGAGCUACUAAAUCUGCAGUGACUGGCUUCCAGACUACUUGAGGAUUUGAAAUUUAUUUAAUGCAGCAGCUUUGUUCUGUUUGAGGGGCUGGCACUCCUCUGGGGCUCCAGAAGAGCUCUGUCAGUGCAGGAGGUACCAGCCUUGCUCGUGUCUACAGUCAACCCACCGGUAAGCUUGGGCUCAUGAGACACUGACAGUGUGGAAAUAUCUCAGUAGAAUGAUGAGGCUGCAGGUAGAAGGCAACUGCAAUUACUUCAGAAAGGUGAAAAGUAACAGAUGAUGUAACAACCCCGGGGAACACAUCUGAUGGAGGCAGCUGCAGCAUUGUCAUAUUAAUGUCUAUCAGUAAGACAACCCUCUGUAAGAUAAGUCAUGAGAAAAUCAGCUGUCACCCUCACUGUUGUGACCCUGCCUGCAUUAUCAGAGCAAGCCUGUCUCAAUUGCUGAGUCCCAUCAGCUAGACAGCAAAACUGAAAUCAAGGUAAUAAUUUUUCCCUAAAGUAUUUUUUUUCCUGAAUAUCAACCAUUCCUUCAGCUAGCAAAAACUGUCAGUCUUUAUUUUCUGAUUGUACUUGUAAUUUCUCAUCUUCCAAAAUACUGUCUAUAGAAUUUUUCCCUGCUGUUGGAAAUAUGUACAAUGUUAAAUGUGAUCAAAUUUACUCCAAUUUGCAUGAGAGCAAUGACGAUUUAUAGCUUUCAGCCAUGACUGCACUGUGCAUUUCUGCACAAUAAAUAUUUCUCUCUCACACACAUUUUUCAUGCUGGUGAACUUUCCUGAAUGCUAUAAUAUAAUGCAAUCUGUAAAAUGGCUAUAGGGAGCCCUGGUUAUCAUUCCAGUAAUUUCCUAUGUGGGACUGGGAUGGGAAUAUCUGGCAAUAUUUGAUUUUGCAGCUAUCAUGAUAUCCUAUCUUGCCUAUCCCUUUGAGUCUGUUGUUAUUGUCUGGAGUCAUCUGCAGGCAGUCUGGUACUGCUUGCAAAAAAGAUAACUCUGGGAAUUUUUUUGCCUUUCAUGCUUUGAAGUUUUGCUUGAGAAAGCUCUGCUUUCAUCUAUUUUUCCUCCUUAAAGCUGCUGUCAGGUAUCAUUUGCAGUUCUUUGGCUUGAUGGCGAAGUGCAAUGGAUGCAAAAUGCUGCAGCCUUAUCUUCCCUUGGAUGGACUGCAGCCCUAACAAGCUGGAAGUGAUAUAUUCAUAUUAAAAUCUCAUUGUAUCCUCUUCUGCCUGGCUUUUCUGAUGCUUUGCACUACCAAGGAAGAAGAGUUUCUUCGCCUUUUGAUCCACACAUCUUUUGUGCCCUCUGUGCAUCUUCUGGAUCCAGCUGCAGCCUUUACUCUGGAGAUUAAUGAUACAAAGAUCUCCUAAGAGCAGCUCUCUUUCAUUCUGGAACCCAAAUUACGGAAGCAAUCUUCAUAAAGGCCACUUCCCCAGCUACAGCGCCUGCUGUGAUAUGAUUCAUGCCUUUUGUCUUCUGCUUGGAAUUUGGGGAUGUUUAUGAAGCACUGUUAUAAAUACUGCAUCUAAUUCCUCUUUUCACAAGAUGCUUUAUUCACAAGAAGAAGAAAAAAAAGAAAGAAAAUUGCAUCACAUAUGUACGUCAUAUCAUUUCCAUUCCCAUUCCCAUUGCCAUCUGGCACUAUUCUUGUUGCCUCCUUCAUAUAUAUACUGAAAGGAUGUGAGACCAGUGCCAGGCAGACUCUCUGGAGCACACAUUUCGGUACUACAGCUGGGAAUUUAAUGGGCCACAGGCACGUUUGGGACAAUGAACUGAGUAAAUGUGCAUUUGAGAGCUGGAGCUGGAGUCAUACGUGCUUGGGAGCAGAAGAAGUAAUGCAUAAGAAUCCCGCUUUCCAUGCUGUGUAUCACUAGUGAUUUAACACAAAAGUUAUGAAAGCGAACAGAUUAAAUAUCUUAGCUGUUUUUA
Molecule: long non-coding RNA, 2786 nt
Organism: Catharus ustulatus (Swainson's thrush)
Lineage: Eukaryota; Metazoa; Chordata; Aves; Passeriformes; Turdidae
Exons: 5
Source: RefSeq, a predicted model, not a curated record